Molecule: ribosomal RNA, 497 nt
Filed under: uncultured bacterium
Lineage: Bacteria
Description: partial 16S ribosomal RNA
Rfam family: Bacterial small subunit ribosomal RNA
Source: RNAcentral
GAUGAACGCUGGCGGCGUGCUUAACACAUGCAAGUCGAACGAAGCAUUUAGAACGGAUUACUUCGGUUUGAAGUUCUUUAUGACUGAGUGGCGGACGAGUGAGUAACGCGUGGGUAACCUGCCUUUUACUGGGGGAUAGCAGCUGGAAACGGCUGGUAAUACCGCAUAAGCGCACAAUGUUGCAUGACAGGGUGUGAAAAACUCCGGUGGUAUAAGAUGGACCCGCGUCUGAUUAGCUAGUUGGUGAGAUAACAGCCCACCAAGGCGACGAUCAGUAGCCGACCUGAGAGGGUGACCGGCCACAUUGGGACUGAGACACGGCCCAGACUCCUACGGGAGGCAGCAGUGGGGAAUAUUGCACAAUGGAGGAAACUCUGAUGCAGCGACGCCGCGUGAGUGAAGAAGUAAUUCGUUAUGUAAAGCUCUAUCAGCAGGGAAGAUAGUGACGGUACCUGACUAAGAAGCUCCGGCUAAAUACGUGCCAGCAGCCGCAGUAA